Long non-coding RNA from Aquila chrysaetos chrysaetos, 962 nucleotides. RefSeq lists it as uncharacterized. The record is from RefSeq and is a predicted model, not a curated record. The transcript has 4 exons. Lineage: Eukaryota; Metazoa; Chordata; Aves; Accipitriformes; Accipitridae.
GCCAACGUGAGGAUAAACGCUUGCUGUUUGUGGUACCCAGGGUACCAAUAUUAACAUCUCACAACACUAAACAGAAUUCUUAAGUGUUCAGAGCUAACUCUUAUCUUCAUCAUCACUUGGUCUCAGUAUAACUCAAGAUGAAAUACUUAACAACCUCAAGAUAGUCUCUGAAGAUCACUCCUGGGAUCAGACAGGACAUUUCUGGCAUAAAGGACUUAUCAAGAUUGAGGAGCAGGACGUGGAGGCAAACAGAGGUGUCAGAGAGUGGAAGGGUGGACAUUUGUUUUAGAAAUCCAGCCAACCAAAUGGGAUUUCUUGACUAUUCUGAAUAAAGAAGUAACUAAGUGUUGGUCAACAGGAUUCAUGAUGGCCAAGAGUCCUUAUCCAGAGAGGACAUGAAAGAAGGCAUUGCUCUCAAACAGUUCUGUCAGCAAGAAGCACAGCAGCAUGCUGAAUCCUGCAAUCCUGAAGAUUAUUUACAGCAUGAGAUGCAUGAGACCUCUGUAUACGUAUCUGGAGAUGGGAAAUCUGCCUUUAGACUUUUGGAAAAACUCUAGCAAGGAAGAGAAGGCCAUCACUCAGACUAGGAUGCUGAUGAAAUAUGUCAUGGGGGAAUGGGGUGAUUUUACCCACGAAUCUUUCCAAAUAAGCAAGCAAGCAUGUUUAUUGACAUAGUUGAUACGAAUAGAAAGCUUUAAAGAUAAAGGAUUCUUAAAACCCAAUUUAGUUUUCAUUCAUAUUCUGCCCCUUUUUGCAUUUUCAGCGUCAGCAAUGAUUAUCAGCUUCAUUGUUUUUACCAGUCAGUUUCUUUCAAGUUUUCUGUGCUUUCAGGUUUUGAGUCAUGAAUAUGACAAAUAUGGUAAUUGUUUACAACCAGCUAUUUCUAGUGGAUUAAUUUUAAAUGUCAAUACAAAGGUCUAAGAUUUAUGUGUGUCUUUAAAAAAAAAUAAAUCUAAGGACAA